AGCGAACGCUGGCGGCAGGCUUAACACAUGCAAGUCGAGCGGGCACUUUCGGGUGUCAGCGGCGGACGGGUGAGUAACGCGUGGGAACGUGCCCUCUGGUUCGGAAUAACUCAGGGAAACUUGAGCUAGUACCGGAUACGCCCUUUUGGGGAAAGGCUUGCUGCCGGAGGAUCGGCCCGCGUCUGAUUAGCUAGUUGGUGAGGUAACGGCUCACCAAGGCGACGAUCAGUAGCUGGUCUGAGAGGAUGAUCAGCCACACUGGGACUGAGACACGGCCCAGACUCCUACGGGAAGCAGCAGUGGGGAAUAUUGGACAAUGGGCGCAAGCCUGAUCCAGCCAUGCCGCGUGAGUGAUGAAGGCCUUAGGGUUGUAAAGCUCUUUUAUCCGGGACGAUAAUGACGGUACCGGAGGAAUAAGCCCCGGCUAACUUCGUG
Molecule: ribosomal RNA, 435 nt
Filed under: uncultured bacterium
Lineage: Bacteria
Description: partial 16S ribosomal RNA
Rfam family: Bacterial small subunit ribosomal RNA
Source: RNAcentral